RNAcentral lists this ribosomal RNA (452 nucleotides) under uncultured archaeon. RNAcentral's name for it is "partial 16S ribosomal RNA". The record is from RNAcentral.
AACACUCCCAUUAAUCCCAUAAACAAAUUUUGGAAUAGUAUUACCAAUUUCUCUUUUAUCAUGAUAAUCUAAUUUUCCAUCAUUAUUAAAAUCCUUAUAUCUUAAAUCUCCAGCUACUGGAAUAUAUCCAUUAUUUUUCAUAUGUUUAGCUGCUUCUUCAUCAGUUUGAUAAACACCUUGCUCCCCCGCCAUCUUGAAUAUAACCAUAUAGGGUCUUAUACGAAUACCCUUCUCGUAUUAAAUAUAGCUGAUCAGGUGAUUUCCCUCCUCUAAAUUUAUCAACUCUAUUUUUUACAUACGUUAAAUUAGCCCCUAAAUUGUAAGAUAGUUUUGAUUGUUGAAUUCUAUCAUUCCAAUUUAUAUUUAUUUCAACCCCCUUAUUGCUCAUUUUUCCCACAUUUUCAAAUGGCGGAUUUAAACCUCCCAUUGUUAGAGGAAUUGGCGGGGGAGCA